RNAcentral lists this ribosomal RNA (506 nucleotides) under uncultured bacterium. Its description in RNAcentral is "partial 16S ribosomal RNA". It matches the Rfam family "Bacterial small subunit ribosomal RNA", at positions 28 to 523 of the family's 1533-position model. The record is from RNAcentral.
GAUGAACGCUAGCUACAGGCUUAACACAUGCAAGUCGAGGGGUAACGAGAGGAAAGCUUGCUUUCCUUGUCGACGACCGGCGCACGGGUGAGUAACGCGUAUCCAACCUGCCCCCAACUAAGGAAUAACCUUGCGAAAGUAAGACUAAUACCUUAUACUUUCCUCAGAUGUCAUCUGACGAGGAAUAAAGAUUUAUCGGUUGUGGAUGGGGAUGCGUCUGAUUAGCUUGUUGGCGGGGUAACGGCCCACCAAGGCAACGAUCAGUAGGGGUUCUGAGAGGAAGGUCCCCCACAUUGGAACUGAGACACGGUCCAAACUCCUACGGGAGGCAGCAGUGAGGAAUAUUGGUCGAUGGGCGAAAGCCUGAACCAGCCAAGUAGCGUGCAGGAUGACGGCCCUAUGGGUUGUAAACUGCUUUUAUACAGGAAUAAAGUUAGCCACGUGUGGUUAUUUGUAGGUACUGUAUGAAUAAGGACCGGCUAAUUCCGUGCCAGCCGCCGCGGUAA